This is a non-coding RNA of Oryza sativa Japonica Group (Japanese rice), 2877 nucleotides long. NCBI's taxonomy places the organism in Eukaryota, Viridiplantae, Streptophyta, Magnoliopsida, Poales, Poaceae. The record is from RefSeq and is a predicted model, not a curated record.
CCAAAUUAUACUGUCAGAAUCGGCUGCAUCGGCUCACCUAGUCUGACUCAGACCCAGCCGAUCUUAAUCGUAGCCGAUCCUAACUUGGGUCACUGGAAGAAUACUUUCAAGUCUUGGCCAUCUCUCGAAAAGCCUACCCUUGAUAAGAGCUGGACCACCUGGUACCAACGCAUAUCGGCUAGUAAGAAAGCCUAGUGGGAUGAGAUUGGGAUCGGCCAAGUGCUUGCUCUCACCAUAGCCAAUUCUGCUAAAAGGAUGAACCUCUGAUGGCUGCCGCCACCUAUUUCUGGUCCAACACCAUCAAUGCCUUCUUAUUUAACUAAGGGCCGAUGACUCUAACUUUGAUCGACAUCAUCAUGAUUACUGGAUUAGAUGUAACUUUAUCGGCUAACCCUAUGAGUAUGAACACCAAGAACCAAUUUGACUUCAAGACCAAAAGCAUAGAAGGGUGGUCUGGUUAUGUAGCAACAUACAUGGGCAAAGGGCCUGUCACUCCUCGGGAGCACGUAGCUUUCUUGCUAAUGUGGCUAGAAAAGUUUCUCUUCUGUGGAUCCAGCUGUGGUCCCACAACCAAUUGGCAAUUUGUAGCCGAAGCCUUAGGAUCAAAGAAACAAUUUCCCUUGGGCAAAAUCCUUCUCGGCUAUCUAUACCAAAUGUUGAACAAUGUAUCGGCUAAGAUAGCCAUCGGCUCAAUAGUUGGAGCAGGUGGACCGUGGUGGCUACUGCAGACCUGGCUAAACCUGGUAGUCAUGAAAGUUGUCAAUCGGCCAUCUAUAACAGAAGCUGAAUUCCCAAGGUUGGAGCCAAUUGUAGAAGACGAUGGAGAAGAAUGCACCCAUCGCAGAUGCAUGUCAUAUGGAGAAUAUGCAUCCACACCAACCGAUGCUGGGGCAAAACUAUCGGCUGAGCUGCUCAAAGAUUGGUUCUGCAGUUUUUAUGAAGGCUUCCAGAAAGAUGUCCGGCUUUGGUUUCUUUAUGAAGACUCAGCAGACCUUGAGCUCUGAUUAGACUUCAGAUUUGAAGACAUCAAUCAUGAAAGAUAUCAAACGUCCAUGGAAGUCUUUACAGCUGCAAUCAGCCCAUGCAUCCUACCUGUCGGUAUUCACCAAGGAAGAAAUAUCCAAGUCUCCUACGAAUUCUAUCACCCUAUAAGUUCAGCUAGACAACUUGGAUUAGGCCAACUCCCAAUCGGCUUAUUCUUUGCUGACAAGAUCCAAUGCCGAGGAGAAAUUUAUUCAACUCUAAUGAAGGAUCGACUGCUUAACCUCCAAGGACCUCCCUUAGGCAGUAUCGACAAUAUUGAGUUAGCAGGAUUCAGGAGCAGGAACUUUGACAGAUGGUGGGGUGAAUGGAAGUUGCAUCUAUUUCAUCAAUCGGCCACAAUGUGCAUGACAGAUCUAUUCCCUGACGUCAUACCCCAGAGUCCUCCCCUCCACAUCAGAGCAAUAGUGGUAGGAACAUUGAAUAUGCCCCAGGUCUGAUUCCUAAUGGAGGCGGAUUGUCUCCCCCUGUCAUCGGCUAUCAUGCCCCCAAGGUCUAAACCCUCCUCCAAGGCGCCAUCAGGGAACCAACCGAUGUAACCAAGAAAAGGAAAAUUAGAUCAUAGGCUGUGAGCACCUUGACUCUAGCUCCAAAGAAAAAGGCCAAGUCUAAGAAAACCAAGCCAACCGACGACCUGCCUGCUUUGGAUUCAUCCAUUGAACAAGCUCUGGAUGAAGAAGAUAUUGAGGAUGAUGUUGAUCAGGCUGCAGCCGAAGUAAGUGAUACUGAAAAAACACCAUCGGCUUCGCCUAAGCAGAUACCUUCAACUCCUUCUGCCCCCACUCACUUCUUCAGAGUAAAACAUCUUUCGUUGCAAACCUUUUUAUAAUCAUUAUUUUUCAGCCAACUACUCAUAGGUUUUGUAGUUGCAGAAGAAGAAAACUGCUAUAAAGAAGAAAUCGGCAGCACCAAUUCUCAAACCAGCUCCACCACCUCCUCCUCCUCCUCCUUCUUCUCCUGUACAACAAUCAUCGAGUGACCGAACUCCAUCGGCCGUGGGGAGUCAUCAUAUUGUGGAAGAAGAACAACCGGCUGCUCCUGCUAUCCCAGUUCUAGCCGAUCUUUUUUCUUUUGAUAUCAAAGAUUAUCUUGAUGAGGCAAAAGAAGAUAUUUCAAGUAAAGCUCUAGCUCCCUUAUCUGACGAUGCAAAGAAAACACUUGAAGAUAUCUCGCGUCGGCUAGAGGCCUCCUCUGGAUAGCUUAGUGGUCGACUGUGGAUCGAUUAGGACACGAUUGCACGAAGUUCAAGCUCUAAUUCCUGAAGAACUGGCCGAUGUCCUAACUCCAGCCGCUUAUCUUGAGCAACAUCAAUUUAAACUAGAAAAAGCCAAGCUAAGAUUAGCCGAACGCCGUGAGCGCAAGGAGAUUGAAGCCACAAUCCAAGUCAAUCGGCAGCUUGUGCAUGAAGAAAAAGUCAAAUUCGAUCAGCUAUCCGAAGGUCCGAUCAAAUCCAAUAUCGAUCGGCUUGAAGCCCGCAAGAUCGAUCUCUUGGCACAGCUUGAAGAAUGCAAUGCUGAAUUGGAUAUGGAGCACAAAAAGCUAGCCGAUCUCCCAAAAUCUGUCGAAGAGCAAAAAGCAAGGCUCAAAUCGGCUAUCAAGAAUGUUGCUGACCUAACCAAGUCCCUGAAGAUCAUUUCUGGAACUGAUGCUCAGGAUGCUCAAGCCAUUGAAGAAGUCGAACAAAUUAGGCAAAGAGAUAUUUCGGCUAUCCAGCAGUACUUGUCUCAAUAACUUUUGUGUAAUAGGACUUGGAAAUUCUUGUAAUCGGUUAAGAUACCUUAAUACCCUAUUGUUUUAACAAUCCUUUGUGCCGAUUAACAUAACUUCUAAUUUUCA